Molecule: long non-coding RNA, 664 nt
Filed under: Panax ginseng (ginseng)
Lineage: Eukaryota; Viridiplantae; Streptophyta; Magnoliopsida; Apiales; Araliaceae
Description: long non-coding RNA (PGIN_LNC017218)
Source: RNAcentral
GUUGUUAACGCCAAGAUCUUUCUCCACGUCCCAAUCACGUAAGACGUCCUGAUCCUGCACAGUAAACACAGUCAACACCGAAAGCUUGAUGGCGGUUCCGUCGGGGGAUAGCUCAGGCGUGAGAAUUAGUACGUGUUCACAAGGUUAACAAUGGAGGAAUAUAUGGUCUAGUGUAUUGAGAGAAUUAAAAUCUCAGUCGUGUGUAUGGGAGAAUAUGAGUAAUCAAUAUAUGAGAGAACAUACCUCUAUACGAUGGCUUCCUUGCUAAGUUAUAUUACUUUUGCUUGGAUUAUUAUGCCACCCACUAUUACCUGACACCCCCUCUGAUCUGAUGGACCCUGCCAACUAUAUCAGGUUUAUCUACUGCUUUUGGCCAUUGUUUUCUCCCGCCGGCCGGUUAUGAUCCCAUCCACAUUAAUGCAUGGCAGGAGGAUUGGUCAACUGUCAUGCUUUUUCAUCAUCACAAGUCAAAGUAACAGAUAUUAAAAUAUCUAAUGGGUCGAUCCACUGGUCUGACCCGGUCCAAUAGAAUUAAAUAAAGUUGACACAAUAAAUGGGCUCAAAGAGUCCCAUGGCUUAAUAAUAAAAGCCCAAUAGAUUAUACUGAUAAAUGGGCCCAAUCUAUCCGGCCCAAGAUAGGAGAAAUAUUAUGACCCAACANNNN